Astyanax mexicanus (Mexican tetra) is the source of this 469-nucleotide long non-coding RNA. RefSeq lists it as uncharacterized. The record is from RefSeq and is a predicted model, not a curated record. Lineage: Eukaryota; Metazoa; Chordata; Actinopteri; Characiformes; Acestrorhamphidae. The transcript has 6 exons.
GUUAUGGUUAAGGUUAGGGCUGGGUUAAGUUUAGAUUAGGUUAAGGGUUUGGUUAAGGUUAGGGCUAGGUUAAGUUUAGAUUAGGUUAAGGGUUUGGUUAAGGUUAGGGCUAGGUUAAGUUUAGAUUAGGUUAAGGGUUUGGUUAAGGUUAGGGCUAGGUUAAGUUUAGAUUAGGUUAAGGGUUUGGUUAAGGUUAGGGCUAGGUUACGUUUAGAUUAGGUUAAUGUUAUGGUGAAGGUUAAGGCUAGGUUAAGUUUAGAUUAGGUUAAUGUUAUGGUGAAGGUUAGGGCUAGGUUAAGUUUAGAUUAGGUUAUGGUUAAGGUUAGGGAUGGGUUAAGUUUAGAUUAGGUUAAGGGUUUGGUUAAGGUUAGGGCUAGGUUAAGUUUAGAUUAGGUUAAGGGUUUGGUUAAGGUUAGGGCUAGGUUAAGUUUAGAUUAGGUUAAGGGUUUGGUUAAGGUUAGGGCUAGGU